UGGGGAAUAUUGGACAUUGGGCGCAAGCCUGAUCCAGCAAUGCCGCGUGUGUGAAGAAGGCCUGCGGGUUGUAAAGCACUUUCAGUAGAGAAGAAAAGCUUAGGGUUAAUACCCCUUGAGUCUUGACGUUACCUACAGAAGAAGCACCGGCUAACUCCGUGCCAGCAGCCGCGGUAAUACGGAGGGGGCUAGCGUUGUUCGGAAUUACUGGGCGUAAAGCGCGCGUAGGCGGGCCGGUCAGUUGGGGGAGAAAUCCCGAGGCUUAAGCUCGGAACUGCCCUAAAAACUACCAGCCUUGAGUCCGGGAGAGGUGAGUGGAAUUCCUAGUGUAGAGGUGAAAUUCGUAGAUAUUAGGAAGAACACCAGUGGCGAAGGCGGCUCACUGGCCCGGUACUGACGCUGAGGCGCGAAAGCGUGGGGAGCAAACAGGAUUAGAUACCCCCGUAGUCC
RNAcentral lists this ribosomal RNA (450 nucleotides) under uncultured prokaryote. RNAcentral's name for it is "bacterial SSU rRNA". It matches the Rfam family "Bacterial small subunit ribosomal RNA", at positions 355 to 796 of the family's 1533-position model. The record is from RNAcentral.